This 240-nucleotide unclassified non-coding RNA is filed under the name soil metagenome. RNAcentral's name for it is "partial contains 5.8S ribosomal RNA, internal transcribed spacer 2, and large subunit ribosomal RNA". The record is from RNAcentral.
AACGGUCUAUACCUGCGGUACCUGCGGAAGGAUCAUUACCGAGUUUACAACUCCCAAACCCCAAUGUGAACAUUACCUUUACUGUUGCUUCGGCGGGAUCGCCCCGGGCGCGGCCGAGAGGCCCAGCCCCGGAUCCAACGUGCGCCCGCCGGAGGACCCCCAGACUCCAUGUUUCUUGCAAGGUAUUUCUGAGCUGCUCCUAGCGAGCAAAACAAAAAAUGAAUCAAAACUUUUAACAAU